This 430-nucleotide ribosomal RNA is filed under the name Pseudomonadota bacterium. RNAcentral describes it as "Proteobacteria bacterium partial 16S ribosomal RNA". It matches the Rfam family "Bacterial small subunit ribosomal RNA", at positions 355 to 776 of the family's 1533-position model. The record is from RNAcentral. Lineage: Bacteria; Pseudomonadati; Pseudomonadota.
UGGGGAAUAUUGGACAAUGGGGGGAACCCUGAUCCAGCCAUGCCGCGUGUGUGAAGAAGGCCUUAUGGUUGUAAAGCACUUUAAGCGAGGAGGAGGGUACUGGUAUUAAUACUACCAGGUACUGGACGUUACUCGCAGAAUAAGCACCGGCUAACUCUGUGCCAGCAGCCGCGGUAAUACCGAGGGUGCGAGCGUUAAUCGGAUUUACUGGGCGUAAAGCGUGCGUAGGCGGCUAAUUGAGUCGGAUGUGAAAUCCCCGGGCUUAACUUGGGAAUUGCAUUCGAUACUGGUUAGCUAGAGUGUGGGAGAGGAUGGUAGAAUUCCAGGUGUAGCGGUGAAAUGCGUAGAGAUCUGGAGGAAUACCGAUGGCGAAGGCAGCCAUCUGGCCUAACACUGACGCUGAGGUACGAAAGCAUGGGGAGCAAACAGG